This 169-nucleotide ribosomal RNA is filed under the name uncultured bacterium. RNAcentral's name for it is "partial 16S rRNA". It matches the Rfam family "Bacterial small subunit ribosomal RNA", at positions 355 to 515 of the family's 1533-position model. The record is from RNAcentral.
UAGGGAAUCUUCGGCAAUGGACGAAAGUCUGACCGAGCAACGCCGCGUGAGUGAAGAAGGUUUUCGGAUCGUAAAACUCUGUUGGUAGAGAAGAACGUUGGUGAGAGUGGAAAGCUCAUCAAGUGACGGUAACUACCCAGAAAGGGACGGCUAACUACGUGCCAGUAGC